Molecule: long non-coding RNA, 1226 nt
Filed under: Homo sapiens (human)
Lineage: Eukaryota; Metazoa; Chordata; Mammalia; Primates; Hominidae
Description: HSALNT0193279
Source: RNAcentral
GUGGAACCUGGCUUAAUUUGACCAGUUGCAGUAAUUUGCUCCUUUGGGCAUGGUUCAUUGGUCCUGGAGUGGCCAUCUGAGACAAACCAAAUUAACCACGAUUGUUCCCCAGAACUUUUCAAACUGGAACUAAGAAAAGAGAGCUGGUUUCAUUUUGGAGGUGAAGAUGUGGGCUCUGAGGCCUGGAAUCUAAAUGUGACCAUGUGACCUACCUGUUAAAGAGAUCAUUUUAAGAGAAUGAAGCAUGGAGUGGCAGAUGAGAGAUGGGGAGAAAUUCUACUGGCAGAGAAUAGACAUCCACACUGAAGCUUUUCCUCUGAAAAAGGAAAAUAAUGUGACCAAAUAAUUUAUCAUCCAUCCAAGAACAUUUUUGAGUACUCUUAAAAAUUACACCAGAACCACAGGAAUAAACCACAGCUGCUCUGGAAGGGUCCUGGGCAAGCUGGACCUAAGAGCACCCCAGAAAUGAAAGUCUUUGUUUCUUUUUAAAAAAUUGUUGACAUCACUGAACAGAGCUCAGUGUGCAGCCCACUGUAUCAAGUCCUAGACCAGCCAACGAAAGCUGCGUUGAACCUAUCCUGCAGCAGAAACACUGGUGAAGAAGCCUGGAGAAACAGAGGCCUGCAGUACCCAGUAACUAACCAGGCUGCACGAAUGGAGCAUGAGAACACCCUACAGCCUGUUAUUUGCUGCAUGUUUCUACGGGCACCAGCAAAGCACAACUUCUAGUAAUGGGAUCAGUAACCCAAGUGACGGAACUGAAAAGCAAGGGGAACUAAUACAGAUGUGGUGCAGCUCGCUUCAGCCAUCUGAGGCUUGGGUUCCUCACCUCUAAAAUGGAUACUCAUACCUACUUCAAUAGGACUAAAUUCAAUAAUUAUAAGGAAUUCUUGUGGCUGGCACACAGUAUGAAAGCUAAUCUUUGAAGACACACUUAAUCAGCGAAAUGGUGAUUGUUGAAGGAGAAUUGUGGCCUGAUGCGCUAAUUUCUAAGUUAAAAAGGAACAUCAUUUUCGCAACAAUAAAGUAGUGAUCUGCCCUUCCACGCAGUGUUAAGACACUUCCCACAACUCCUUCACCCUUCUCAUUUAGGUAAGUACUAAAAUAAACAGGAAAAGGGAACUGUACCUCUUAUACCUAUGCAACUGGCCCAGUGAAUUGAUUUCAAGUUUGCAUUUGUGAGAAAAAAAAAAAGAUGACUUCCUUAUUUAUAUUUUAGUGGGCAC